RNAcentral lists this ribosomal RNA (253 nucleotides) under uncultured bacterium. Its description in RNAcentral is "partial 16S ribosomal RNA". It matches the Rfam family "Bacterial small subunit ribosomal RNA", at positions 524 to 776 of the family's 1533-position model. The record is from RNAcentral.
UACGUAGGGGGCUAGCGUUGUCCGGAAUCAUUGGGCGUAAAGAGCGUGUAGGCGGCCAGAUAGGUCCGUUGUGAAAACUGGAGGCUUAACCUCCAGCUGUCGAUGGAAACCAUCUGGCUAGAGUCCGGAAGAGGAGAGUGGAAUUCCUGGUGUAGCGGUGAAAUGCGCAGAUAUCAGGAAGAACACCCGUGGCGAAGGCGGCUCUCUGGGACGGUACUGACGCUGAGACGCGAAAGCGUGGGGAGCGAACAGG